This 502-nucleotide ribosomal RNA is filed under the name uncultured eukaryote. RNAcentral's name for it is "partial 18S ribosomal RNA". It matches the Rfam family "Eukaryotic small subunit ribosomal RNA", at positions 592 to 968 of the family's 1831-position model. The record is from RNAcentral.
CAUUAGUGUAUGUUAAAGUUGUUGCAGUUAAAAAGCUCGUAGUUGGAUUUCUGAUUCGCUUGGCCUGGCCCGACGACCUUUGUGUUGUUGUUGGCCGGUAUGGGGUCAUUAUUAUGGAUGGGACUUUUGUUCUGUUCUGUUUUGAUGACUCUUGCUUCGCAAUCAUCCUUCAGAAGAACUGGUCUGCUCUUAAUUGAGUUUUGGGCCAGUAGACUCUGAUCGUUUACUUUGAAAAAUUAGAGUGUUCAAAGCAGGCAUUUGUUGCUGUGAAUAUCUUAGCAUGGAAUAAUAAGAUAGGACUUUGGCCCCGCUGGGUAUUUUCUCGCUUCGCUGUGGGCUUCGGCUUACGUGGAGCGAGAUUACCCGGUUCUAUUUUGUUGGUUCGUAGAGCCAAAGUAAUGAUUGAUAGGGAUAGUUGGGGGUGCUAGUAUUGCCUGGCCAGAGGUGAAAUUCUUGGAUUCAGGCAAGACUAACUUAUGCGAAAGCAUUCACCAAGGAUGUC